AGUAACCCACUAGAGUAAUCGGAUUCAGGUUGGGGGUAAUCUGUCGCACUUCACCCACUAAUGGAUCAUAUAAGCCAUUACCGAAGGCUGCAUUGCAUGCGAAUAGAAGGCAAGCAACCCCUAAACAAAGCAGGUGAUGGCCCAAAAUAGAAGAGAGAGACUCAAAGUCGUCCCA
RNAcentral lists this antisense RNA (175 nucleotides) under Acaryochloris marina MBIC11017. RNAcentral describes it as "Antisense RNA which regulates isiA expression". It matches the Rfam family "Antisense RNA which regulates isiA expression". The record is from Rfam by way of RNAcentral. Lineage: Bacteria; Bacillati; Cyanobacteriota; Cyanophyceae; Acaryochloridales; Acaryochloridaceae.